This 483-nucleotide ribosomal RNA is filed under the name uncultured bacterium. RNAcentral describes it as "partial 16S ribosomal RNA". It matches the Rfam family "Bacterial small subunit ribosomal RNA", at positions 29 to 506 of the family's 1533-position model. The record is from RNAcentral.
AUUGAACGCUGGCGGCAGGCCUAACACAUGCAAGUCGAGCGGAUGAAGGGAGCUUGCUCCUGGAUUCAGCGGCGGACGGGUGAGUAAUGCCUAGGAAUCUGCCUGGUAGUGGGGGAUAACGUCCGGAAACGGGCGCUAAUACCGCAUACGUCCUGAGGGGGAAAGUGGGGGAUCUUCGGACCUCACGCUAUCAGAUGAGCCUAGGUCGGAUUAGCUAGUUGGUGGGGUAAAGGCCUACCAAGGCGACGAUCCGUAACUGGUCUGAGAGGAUGAUCAGUCACACGGGAAAUGAGAACGGGCCCAGACUCCUACGGGAGGCAGGAGGGGGGAAUUUUGGCAAAGGGGCGAAAGCCUGAUCCAGCCAUGCGGGGGGGGUGAAGAAGGUCUUCGGAUUGUAAAGCAUUUUAAGGUGGGAGGAAGGGCAGUAAGUUAAUCCCUUGCUGUUUUGACGUUACCAACAGAAUAAGCACCGGCUAACUGCGG